GAACGCACAUUGCGCCCCUUGGUAUUCCAUGGGGCAUGCUUGUUCGAGCGUCAUUUGUACUCUCAAGCUUUGCUUGGUGUUGGGUGUUUGUCCUUUCCUUGUGUUUGGACUCGCCUUAAAUUCAUUGGCAGCCAAAGUAUUGGUUUGAAGCGCAGCACAAUUUGCGAUUCUAACUGGUAUUGUUAGCGUCCAGUAAGCACAUUUAACACUUUUGACCUCGGAUCAAGUAGGGAUACCCGCUGAACUUA
RNAcentral lists this unclassified non-coding RNA (248 nucleotides) under uncultured Pleosporales. RNAcentral's name for it is "sequence contains 5.8S rRNA gene". The stretch from base 1 to 53 matches the Rfam family "5.8S ribosomal RNA", at positions 102 to 154 of the family's 154-position model. The record is from RNAcentral. Lineage: Eukaryota; Fungi; Ascomycota; Dothideomycetes; Pleosporales.